GCGCAGGAAAAGAAACCAACAGGGAUUGCCUUAGUAACUGCGAGUGAAGCGGCAAAAGCUCAAAUUUGAAAUCUGGCGUCUGCGGCGUCCGAGUUGUAAUUUGGAGAGAUUUCUUCGGGGUGAACACCGGUCCAAGUUCCUUGGAACAGGACGUCACAGAGGGUGAGAAUCCCGUGUCUGACCGGUUGCUUCAUUCCAUGUGAAGUGUCUUCGACGAGUCGAGUUGUUUGGGAAUGCAGCUCAAAAUGGGUGGUAAAUUUCAUCUAAAGCUAAAUAUUGGCGAGAGACCGAUAGCGCACAAGUAGAGUGAUCGAAAGAUGAAAAGCACUUUGAAAAGAGAGUUAAAAAGUACGUGAAAUUGUUGAAAGGGAAGCGCUUGAGACCAGACUCAAUUUGUGGUGAACAUCAGUCCUUCUGGGCUGUGCACUUGCCACUUUUUGGGCCAGCAUCGGUUCUGACCGUGUGAUAAAGGUCCUGGGAAUGUAGCUCCUCUCGGGGAGUGUUAUAGCCCAGGGCGUAAUGACAUGAGUUGGGACCGAGGACCGCGCUUCGGCUAGGAUGCUGGCAUAAUGGUCUUCAGCGACCCGUCUUGAAACACGGACCAAGGAGUCUAACAUCUAUGCGAGUGUUCGGGUGGAAAACCCUUGCGCGUAAUGAAAGUGAACGGAGGUGGGAACCCCUCGGGGUGCACCAUCGACCGAUCCUGAUGUUCUCGGAUGGAUUUGA
RNAcentral lists this ribosomal RNA (726 nucleotides) under uncultured Ascodesmis. RNAcentral describes it as "eukaryotic LSU rRNA". It matches the Rfam family "Eukaryotic large subunit ribosomal RNA", at positions 50 to 793 of the family's 3401-position model. Lineage: Eukaryota; Fungi; Ascomycota; Pezizomycetes; Pezizales; Ascodesmidaceae. The record is from RNAcentral.